This 270-nucleotide ribosomal RNA is filed under the name Pseudotrogulus telluris. Its description in RNAcentral is "partial large subunit ribosomal RNA". Lineage: Eukaryota; Metazoa; Arthropoda; Arachnida; Opiliones; Gonyleptidae. The record is from RNAcentral.
GCAUAAUAAAUAGGUUUUUAAUUGAAAUCUGGAAUGAAAGGUUAGACUAAGAAGAUUGUUUUAUUUAAUUAUUUUGAAUUUAAGUUAAAAGUAAAAACGCUUUUAUAAAGUUCUGGGACGAGAAGACCCUAGAAGCUUUUGAAGAAUUUUUAAUUGGGGUAAUUAAAUGAAGAUAAGGAUUUUUAAUAAGUUACUCUAGGGAUAACAGCAUUAUUUAAUUAACAAGUUCUUAUUAAUAAUUAAGUUUGUGACCUCGAUGUUGAAUUAAUU